AGAAGUUGAGAAUAUCCGUAAGUCUUCUGGAGGUCAAAGAAUCUUCUCCACUAUUUGAUAAAUGGGUGGAAUUAGCCAUGGAGAAUGGGGUAAAAGAGCUGGAUUUUGAGGUUAUAACAGAUAAAAAUUCUGUCAACGCUUUACCUCAGACAAUCUUUUCUGCAAAAUUGUUAACUUCUUUGAAGCUAUUUGGUUGUAAGUUGGAGCAGCCCUCACAUUGUGCAAAUCUCCAAUCUCUCAAGAAGCUUUCUCUAGAUGAGGUGUAUGUAAAUGAUCAGAUGGUCCAAAGCCUUGUCCGUGAAUGCCGUGUGCUUGAAGAUUUGUCCUUUUUUUACUGUUUUGGUUUGAAGCGUUUGCGCAUCUCUGAAGCUCACAAACUCAAGUCUUUGAUACUUCGUUUUACAUACCAAGAACUUGAAAGUGUUGAAAUUGCUGUUCCCAGUCUUCAACAGUUAGAACUUUCAUUUUCUCGAGUACCCCGUCUGCUGGACGUGGCUGAAUGUCCACAUUUGAGGAAGUUAGUCUUAUUUUUACCCCAUUUUAAUGACCAAGAGUUUCAUCCUCUUAUUUCAAAAUUUCCCUUGCUUGAGGAUCUCUCCAUAAUCUCCUUGGAAACCCUUGAAAGGAUAAUGAUCUCCAGUAAUCGGCUUAUGCAUUUGGAAGUUUACAACUGCAGUGGUUUGAACAGAAUCAAUGUUGAUGCACCUAAUUUGGUUUCCUUUGAUUUCGAGGAUAAUCCAAUUCCCAUUGUAUCAACAAAUGCUCCGUGUCCAUUGAAUGUACUCUUUUCGAAUUUUGGUGAUAUUGACACCCAUUGGUACCUUAAUUUAAUGGAAUUUAUUGGAGCAUUCAAUCAAAUUGGAGAGCUACACUUAUCUCUCAACUAUAAGCAGGUAUGUUUAUAUGUGCCAUAACUUCGAUUGUUAUAUUUUAUUAAUGCCAUUUUUUCUUUUCAUUAUCCUAUUUUUUUCCUUUUGCCUGUAUUUAUUUCUCAUGAUUUAUAUAGGUCUUAUUUAAUAUAGACGAGUUCAGAAGCUGCCACCCUUCACUCCCUCUUCAAGUUGAGAGUCUGUCCCUAUUUAUGGAAUCCUUCAGCCUUUAUAUGGAUGUGGUACCAUCGGAGUAUGAAAUUUUGUUGGAUGGCCUUUUUUGGAUUUUUUACCCUAAGAAUUUGUGUUUGUCUCCUGAGAACUGGCGCUAUCGCCCAUUUGUUAUGGUAUGUUUUGUUUUAGCAUUAGUUGUUAUACUUACUUGAGUGAAUCUUUAAUCCUCAUUUAUGUUGGAAUCCAGUACAAAGAAGAAAACAGUAGGAAUCCUAUAGUUGUAACAUGAUCUUUUCUCGGUAGUAUUUGGUUGGGGUAUGUGGAAAAGUAGGCUAAAAGUAAUUGUUUAUACAACAUCAUAGCUUAAGAUAAAAUACAAGCUCUGACUGGUCGAAACAAGUAUACGAACAAAAAUCAUGAAAGAAAAAUGCUCAGUUCUCAUUUUUGCUUUUUGAGGAGAACUGCCUGCAUUUUGUUGCUAGGUCAAGGAGGGAUUACUGCUAGUCAAUGAAACGACAAGUUUUAUCUGUUGUUGAUCAGUUUCAGAGGUUGUAAUCAUAUUUAAUGUUAACUGAAUCGUGUGAUGUUUGUGUGAAUUGCAGUGGUUUUAUGACCAUCUUCGGAAUAUAAGUACAAACUGUUGCAAUGGUCGUCAAAUCAAGUGUUGGCGGCAUUAUUUAAAGGGUAUUAACAUUGAGAGCUUCGAUCCCUUACAAGAAUCAAGUGAGGUUAAUUAUGCAGAUGUACCCUCUCGAGGAUAAUUCAGAUGAAUUGAUGGAUAGAUGGCCUCUGCUUCCCCAGGGAGAUUUGUGGCUGCGGCUUGAUUGGUGCUUUCCCGUACUUAAUGAGUAGUUGCGACAAGCCACAACGUUCUCGUGACUGAGGCAUUACCAUUGUGAAUCUGCGGUUGCUAAAGAUAGCUGUAUUAUAUUCUUUAAUAUACUAUAUAUAGAGAGAGUUAAGAAUGUGUGUUGUUCUCAUCUUUUAGUUUGGUGCAUGCUGCUAACAAGAGCUAGCACCAUCCAAAAGUUUCAAAUUCAAACAAACCUGAGCCAUCCAGAGAGGAAAUGCUUUUAUUUUUCAAACCUCAAGCUCAAUUUUAUUGUGAAGGGGUGAUUAGACUUUUUUUUUUCCUUUCCCCCUUUGCACUAAGGGGAACGCCUUGUCUGAGUAAAAAUGUUGAGAUUUUUCUUUGAUGAAAGAGUGUUCUCGGUUUGAUGAGAUUGUUCCUAUAUCGUCACUAUACAAUUAAUUAUAUAUUUCCUGCUUUCUUUGAUACCCCUUUACCUGGAUUUCAUGAAGGCAUUGAGUCUAAAUUUUGUUAUUCAAUUUUAUAACAUGUAGCUCAGUAAUUUACCGUAAAUCAAUUACCAACCUGUUGUAUUGUGCAUGUAUUCCACAAGCAAAUGCAAAAGUAAACCUUCUUAGUAUUCAACUAAUUAGCGAGUCAUUUACAAGAAGCAAAAAUAAAAAUAAUGGAGAAAAAAAAGAGUUCAUUCAAGUAUUUAUUGCAUUGUCUGGCGCUUGAUUAUUUGUAACAUCUAAAUAGUGCUUCUAUACUAGAUAACAUUAUAAGUAUAUGAAUAUACUUCCAAAUAUAUAUAACAAUUUCAAAGAUAUAAGUGUAAAAAUAUUAGAUUUAAGAUGUUUUAAGUUUAUAAAAACAAACAACUUGCAAUUUAUACUUAGAUAUUAAAAAAUAACUCUCAAUAUUUUUAUUUUAUUUUAUUUUUUGAAGAUAAAACUUACUGUUGUCAUGUCUUAAUGUAAAAUGUAAGUUGUUGUUUAAAUAUGACAAUGUCAGAGGGAUAAUCUGAUCUUUUCAUAUAAUACAAGUGAUAAUUUAAUGGUAUAAUAAGUAAUAAUAAGAGAAUUUAAGGGUAUACAAGUGAUAAUUUUCAUUUACUUUAAUUUAAGUUUCAAGGAUAAAAUUUAACUUUAAUUUAAUUUUCCUAUCAAAAAAAAGAAAUUUAAGUUUCAAAGGUAAAAUCAUCACUAUAAUUACAUUAACUUUCAAACGACAACUAAUGAUUUAGUGGUUAGCAAAUAGCUUUUGUUAAUUUACGGUGAACAAUUGAUACACCCUUAAAAUUUUGUAGUAUUUUUAAUAACAUAACAAAUUUACUGUACAGUGUACACGAAGGAUAAUUUUUCUUAAUUAAUUAUUAAUCAAAGACGAUUCUAUGUUACAUCACAUCAACGCUACAUUUUAUCAAAGCUUUUUUUUUUUUUAUACAAAGCCAAUACUAAAUUAAAAUCCCUAUAACACUCCUUUCAAAUGUUCAUUUUCAAAAUCUUCUCGGUUUUUGUUUGGGUUUGAUUUUUUCAAUAACGUUUGAAAAUAUGGUCAACCCCAAUCUACUCAAAACUCAUUAGUAUUGAGCUGACCUCGUAAGUACGACCUGGAGCCUAUGUUGGCAAUCUGGUUUACAGAUACAACCUGAGAUUUAUGUGAACAACCAGAUUUAAAAAUACAUCCUUGAACUUACAUGAACGAUAGGAAAAUUCACCAGUCCCACCUGAAAAUGAAGAAAUCCGACCUCAAAAUUUAUUUGUCCGACUCGGGAAUUAGCUUGACAUGGAAAAUUAUUGGUUUAAAUAACGUGGCCUAAUUUUUAGGGAAGUUGUACGCCACGAUUUGUUAAACCGUCUCCAAUUAUUAACAACUCGCAACUGCUGAAGAAGGUGGGCUAAAGUUAAGGUGGUAACCACUCACGACCAAGGGCUAUUUAAGCUGAAGAGGGCAACAGAGAAAGGGGUUAGCAAAAAUUAACCAAAAACUCUACAAGUGACCUAUCUAAGAGCCUUAACAUUCUCUACUAGAUUUUUAGUUCCUCUAUCAGAAAAUUCCUUUAUCUCGAAUUCAUUCACAAUUCUUCCCUUUCAUUUUUAUCUCUUCAGAUAAAAAUUCUGUCAACGCUUUACCUCAGACAAUCUUUUCUGCAAAAUUGUUAACUUCUUUGAAGCUAUUUGGUUGUAAGUUGGAGCAGCCCUCACAUUGUGCAAAUCUCCAAUCUCUCAAGAAGCUUUCUCUAGAUGAGGUGUAUGUAAAUGAUCAGAUGGUCC
This 4109-nucleotide long non-coding RNA is filed under the name Citrus sinensis (sweet orange). Its description in RNAcentral is "long non-coding RNA (CSIN_LNC000295)". The record is from RNAcentral. Lineage: Eukaryota; Viridiplantae; Streptophyta; Magnoliopsida; Sapindales; Rutaceae.